RNAcentral lists this non-coding RNA (25 nucleotides) under Cricetulus griseus (Chinese hamster). The record is from RNAcentral. Lineage: Eukaryota; Metazoa; Chordata; Mammalia; Rodentia; Cricetidae.
CAAUCAGAUUUUAGACACUGGGGGU